This 468-nucleotide ribosomal RNA is filed under the name uncultured bacterium. RNAcentral's name for it is "partial 16S ribosomal RNA". It matches the Rfam family "Bacterial small subunit ribosomal RNA", at positions 28 to 507 of the family's 1533-position model. The record is from RNAcentral.
GACGAACGCUGGCGGCGUGCUUAACACAUGCAAGUCGAACGGAAAGGCCCUGCUUUUGUGGGGUGCUCGAGUGGCGAACGGGUGAGUAACACGUGAGUAACCUGCCCUUGACUUUGGGAUAACUUCAGGAAACUGGGGCUAAUACCGGAUAGGAGCUCCUGCUGCAUGGUGGGGGUUGGAAAGUUUCGGCGGUUGGGGAUGGACUCGCGGCUUAUCAGCUUGUUGGUGGGGUAGUGGCUUACCAAGGCUUUGACGGGUAGCCGGCCUGAGAGGGUGACCGGCCACAUUGGGACUGAGAUACGGCCCAGACUGCUACGGGAGGGAGCAGUGGGGAAUAUUGCACAAUGGGCGGAAGCCUGAUGCAGCCACGCCGCGUGCGGGAUGACGGCCUUCGGGUUGUAAACCGCUUUCGCCUGUGACGAAGCGUGAGUGACGGUAAUGGGUAAAGAAGCACCGGCUAACUACGUG